Molecule: transfer RNA, 83 nt
Filed under: Balbiania investiens
Lineage: Eukaryota; Rhodophyta; Florideophyceae; Balbianiales; Balbianiaceae
Description: tRNA-Leu
Rfam family: tRNA
About the family: Transfer RNA (tRNA) molecules are approximately 80 nucleotides in length. Their secondary structure includes four short double-helical elements and three loops (D, anti-codon, and T loops).
Source: RNAcentral
GUGGAUAUGAUGGAAUUGGUAGACAUGUUAGGUUUAGAUUCUAAUGACUUAAAGUCACGGGGGUUCGAGUCCCUCUAUCCAUA